RNAcentral lists this ribosomal RNA (229 nucleotides) under uncultured bacterium. Its description in RNAcentral is "partial 16S ribosomal RNA". It matches the Rfam family "Bacterial small subunit ribosomal RNA", at positions 28 to 260 of the family's 1533-position model. The record is from RNAcentral.
GACGAACGCUGGCGGCGUGCUUAACACAUGCAAGUCGAGCGGUAAGGCCCUCGGGUACACGAGCGGCGAACGGGUAGAGUAACACGUGGGUGACCUGCCUCUAGCUCUGGGAUAAGCCUGGGAAACUGGGUCGUAAUACCGGAUAUGACUCCACGGCGCAUGUUGUGGGGUGGAAAGCCUUGAGUGGCUAGAGAUGGGCCCGCGGCCUAUCAGCUUGUUGGUGGGGUGA